AUGUUGGUGAACAGGGUCUGGCAUGUGGUGUGUGUGCUCUGCUGUGUGUGUGUGAACGCAGAGGAAUAUGAAGUGAACUACGCAGACAACUACGAAAACGAGAUUACACAGGACCAACAGGACGGGGACUCCCCUGUGACUACCUGCCAGGCUACAGACCUCUCUCGCUGGAACAAACUCUUUGUGGCUCUGGAGGACUCCCACCAGAGGGAUAUGAUGCUGAUGGAAGCCCUGGAGCAACGCUGUGGAGCCCCGGGAGUCUGCCAGCAGUGCCUGCCCGCCAUCGAGGCAGUUUGCCGGGGGCAGACAGAGCAGGCGAGCCCCAGGCUCCAUCAAGGCCUAGUGGAGCUGAAGGAGGAGGUAACAGAGCGAGAGGGGAGGAUUAAUUCUUCACUACAGCAGAUCAAACAGGAGGGAGCAGAAAGUUAUGGGAGGAUGAUGGCUGUGUUACAUCAUCUCCUUCAGAACAGCAAAGAGCAGAACCAUAGACUACAUCGAUUGGAGGAGAGUAAGCUGACAGGGGAGGUGACAGAAGGGGCUGGAUCUAUAGGAGCCGGGCAUAGAGAAGCAGAGCCAAUCAGGACAGGGCAUAAAGAGAAUAGGUUGGGUUUGGGGGAGGGGCUUAGUGGGAGAGGUGGACCAAUAGGGACGAAGCCUGGCAGUAUAGGGGCGGGUCUCGGACUGGGUUUGGGCAUGAAGCUGUUCUCGUCAAGCACAAAGAAACAGUUAGUGACAUCAUCGCCAUCAUCGGACCCGGGAAAGAUUGAGCGGCCUCUGGUUGCUAUAGCGAUGGAAAUGCAGAAGGUGCAGACCCAGCUGGACCUAAUAUCCUCUGUAGGGAACUAAGGAUGAAAAAAUACAAGGAGAAAUUAAAGGAAGGAUAUCUGAUGGAUAUUGUCCUCUAUCAGGGACUGAAUCAAAACUAAAAUCUAAACUUAUUGAAAUGUUCCACACUAACAUAUCACCUCUUUAUACAUUAGGAAAGCAAAACAAUCGCCUUGAAAUAUGUUUAGUAUUCUUUUUUAAUUCUGUAUAAUUAAAGGAAAUGCUCUGUGACUCUAAUUGUCUAAGUGAUGAAUAAAGAUUUGUUAAACUUUUUAAUUGGUGGAAAGGGUUCCUCCUGUCUCAAGUUAUACACCCACCAUCUUUACCAGGGAAACUUGUCAUCAUGGACAUUGUGGACAAUAACAGGAGUGUCUCAGAUACUGUUGACAUCUCAGCUAUAAUCAGACACAGUUCUCUUUCUCAUUACUGAGUUUACACACUUUAAAUAAACUGUUUAGGAUUUAUGACGUUUUGCCAGACUUAUAACACAGCGACUGUUCUGCUGCCACAGAACUUCAUUCAUCUGUGUGUGUGUGUGUGUGUGUGUGUGUGUGUGUGUGUGUGUGUGUGUGUGUGUGUGUGUGUGUGUGUGUGUGUGUGUGUGUGUGUGUCGGUGCGUGUUGGCGUGUGUGUGUCGGUGCGUGCUGGCGUGUGUGUGUCGGUGCGUGCUGGCGUGUGUGUAGGUGACAUGAAGAGAGUUUUCCAUAUAAAGUAGCAGCCAGGGGGUGGGUAGGCUAAUAGGAGGAGGGUGUGUUUGGACACUCAGCUUUUCUCUCUCUCCUUCUUCAAGAACUAGUUUCAAAAUGUCACAGGGUUCAAGGUAUGUGAAUCCCACCAUCCUGGUUUACAUGCAUUGUGACCUGACACAAUGAUAGACGAGACAAGAGGAGAGGAGAGAUGACGAGACGAGAGGAGAGGAGAGAUGACGAGAGGAGAGGAGAGAUGACGAGAGGAGAAGAGAUGAGAGGAGAGAUGACGAGAGGAGAGGAGAGAUGACGAGACGAGAGGAAAGGAGAGAUGACGAGACGAGAGUAGAGGAGAGAUGACGAGAGGAGAGGAGAGAUGACGAGAGGAGAAGAGACGAGAGGAGAGAUGACGAGAGGAGAGGAGAGAUGACGAGACGAGAGGAAAGGAGAGAUGACGAGAGGAGAGGAGAGAUGACGAGAGGAGAAGAGACGAGAGGAGAGAUGACGAGAGGAGAGGAGAGAUGACGAGAGGAGAGGAGACGAGAGGAGAGAUGACGAAAGGAGAGGAGACGAGAGGAGAGAUGACGAGAGGAGAGGAGAGAUGACGAGAGGAGACGAGAGGAGAGAUGAGGAGAGGAGAGGAGAAGAGAGAUGACGAGAGGAGAGAUGACGAGACGAGAGGAGAGGAGAGAUGACGAGAGGAGAGAUGACGAGAGGAGAGGAGACGAGAGGAGAGAUGACGAGAGGAGAGGAGACGAGAGGAGAGGAGAGGAGACGAGAGGAGAGGAGAGAUGACGAGAGGAGAGGAGAGAUGACAAGAGGAGAGAUGAUGAGAGGAGAGGAGAGGAGACGAGAGGAGAGGAGAGAUGACGAGAGUAGAGGAGACGAGAGGAGAGAUGACGAGACGAGAGGAGAGUAGAGAUGACGAGAGGAGAGGAGAGAUGACGAGAGGAGAGAUGAUGAGAUGAGAGGAGAGAUGAUGAGAGGAGAGGAGAGAUGACGAGAGGAGAGGAGAGAUGACGAGAGGAGAGGAGACGAGAGGAGAGAUGACGAGACGAGAGGAGAGAUGACGAGAGGAGAGGAGACGAGAGGAGAGAAGAGAUGACGAGAGGAGAGGAGAGAUGACGAGACGAGGGGAGAGGAGAGAUGACGAGAGGAGAGGAGAGAUGACGAGAGGAGAGAUGACGAGAGGAGAGGAGACGAGAGGAGAGAUGACGAGAGGAGAGAUGACGAGAGGAGAGGAGACGGGAGGAGAGGAGACGAGAGGAGAGAUGACGAGAGGAGAGAUGACAAGAGGAGAGGAGACGAGAGGAGAGAUGACGAGAGGAGAGGAGACGAGAGGAGAGAUGACGAGACGAGAGGAGAGGAGAGAUGACGAGAGGAGAGAUGACGAGAGGAGAGGAGACGAGAGGGGAGGUUGUUAUUAGUCUUAAUCACAGCUUCCACUUACAGCUGCUAUCAGAUGGAUAGAUACACUCCCCCUCUUCCUCUCUCCCAUCCUCCUCUCUCCCCCUCACCCUGGCUGUCUCCCCCCCUCACCCUUG
Oncorhynchus mykiss (rainbow trout) is the source of this 3055-nucleotide long non-coding RNA. The record is from Ensembl. Lineage: Eukaryota; Metazoa; Chordata; Actinopteri; Salmoniformes; Salmonidae.